This 1167-nucleotide long non-coding RNA is filed under the name Anser brachyrhynchus (Pink-footed goose). Its description in RNAcentral is "lncRNA (ENSABRG00000003451.1)". The record is from RNAcentral. Lineage: Eukaryota; Metazoa; Chordata; Aves; Anseriformes; Anatidae.
UAAGAACAAUGUCAUUUCAAAAUUAACGGGAUAUACCUGCACGUACAUAAGGAGACUGCAGCAAAGAGCAGACCCCUCCUUUCUCUAAGCUGAGCCAGAGUUUCAACUGGCUGCCGACUUUCCCCAAGAUGACAAAGUUGAAAAUGUGCCCGAGAGCCAACCCUUUCCUUUCCUCUAUUUGAUUUCCAUGCCCCAGCCACUGUAGACCUGACCCCAGGACCUCCUUGCUCUACAAAUGGAUGUUGUACUGCCCAAGCUGCUCCAGAAUUGGAAAUGUAGCAUUUGUGGAUGUGAGGACUUGCAGAGCAGGACAAAAACAUUUGUCUGAAUGGGUUUCCAAUGGGAAAUGGCCUUGUCAUUGCACCCGGCAGCCACAUGACACGACUGCGGGGAUGUGCGGCGCAAUGUGGUUUCGGGUGCUCUCUGCCUUCCAUGAUGUCUUGGGUCUGUCUUUGCCUUCUUCCAGUAUGAGGAAGGCUUGAGGUUCAAAACAGAGACUGUAUCCAUGUAUGUUCCCUUUGAUCUCUUAUUUCUGUCCUUGUUCCUUACUGAGUUCCAUGAGGAUAACAACAGUAAUACCACAAAGCUGCUGGGGUGACUUCUUGUUUCAGUUCCAGCCUCUGAUCUUCUCUCUAAUGCCUUUGAAAGUAAACAGCACUGAGGUUUAUUUCAGACUGGCAGUGGCCUACUGGCCAUUUCCAUUUUUUACGGAACUGGAGAAAUCAUAAGAAAAUUAAAACCCCAAACCAAACCAAAACACCUUUGCUGGUGAAGUCUGGGGAAGCCACAGAAAAGUGGAUUCAAACAAGGUGACCUCAAAACAGAACUUUGUCUCUGCUCUUUGUGGAGAAAGCUGAACUCAGGUGCCUGGACUGGUGCUGAGAAAGCCUCAGCAAAGUUACUAUUUCUAACACCGGAGCAACUUGAAUACCAAACCCAAACAUCUCUGUUCCUUGCCUGGGUGGACUGAAUGAGGAUCAUUAUACUUACCUACUCAUCCUGGUAUGAUUGAGGUGGCCCUCAUUAGUACCACAUCAAUAUGCUUUACAGCUCCUGUUAGCGACGGAUGAGCAAAACCUUGGCACCUGCAGCAUCUACCGCUGCAGUAAGCAAAAGCAAAGGCCACAGGCAACUUGGGAAAGGUAUAAAUACCUAAAUAUAUUAAUA